CACGUAGGGUGCGAGCGUUGUCCGGAAUUAUUGGGCGUAAAGGGCUCGUAGGCGGUUUGUCGCGUCGGGAGUGAAAACCUCGGGCUUAACUCGGGGCUUGCUUUCGAUACGGGCAGACUAGAGGUAUGCAGGGGAGAACGGAAUUCCUGGUGUAGCGGUGAAAUGCGCAGAUAUCAGGAGGAACACCGGUGGCGAAGGCGGUUCUCUGGGCAUGAUCUGACGCUGAGGAGCGAAAGUGUGGGGAGCGAACAGG
RNAcentral lists this ribosomal RNA (253 nucleotides) under uncultured bacterium. RNAcentral describes it as "partial 16S ribosomal RNA". It matches the Rfam family "Bacterial small subunit ribosomal RNA", at positions 524 to 776 of the family's 1533-position model. The record is from RNAcentral.